This 468-nucleotide ribosomal RNA is filed under the name uncultured bacterium. Its description in RNAcentral is "partial 16S ribosomal RNA". It matches the Rfam family "Bacterial small subunit ribosomal RNA", at positions 28 to 507 of the family's 1533-position model. The record is from RNAcentral.
GACGAACGCUGGCGGCGUGCUUAACACAUGCAAGUCGAACGGAAAGGCCCUGCUUUUGUGGGGUGCUCGAGUGGCGAACGGGUGAGUAACACGUGAGUAACCUGCCCUUGACUUUGGGAUAACUUCAGGAAACUGGGGCUAAUACCGGAUAGGAGCUCCUGCUGCAUGGUGGGGGUUGGAAAGUUUCGGCGGUUGGGGAUGGACUCGCGGCUUAUCAGCUUGUUGGUGGGGUAGUGGCUUACCAAGGCUUUGACGGGUAGCCGGCCUGAGAGGGUGACCGGCCACAUUGGGACUGAGAUACGGCCCAGACUCCUACGGGAGGCAGCAGUGGGGAAUAUUGCACAAUGGGCGGAAGCCUGAUGCAGCAACGCCGCGUGCAGGAUGACGGCCUUCGGGUUGUAAACCGCUUUCGCCUGUGACGAAGCGUGAGUGACGGUAAUGGGUAAACAAGCACCGGCUAACUACGUG